This 435-nucleotide ribosomal RNA is filed under the name Ochromonas sp. PH1_1. Its description in RNAcentral is "SSU rRNA". It matches the Rfam family "Eukaryotic small subunit ribosomal RNA", at positions 626 to 1065 of the family's 1831-position model. The record is from RNAcentral. Lineage: Eukaryota; Chrysophyceae; Chromulinales; Chromulinaceae.
GCUCGUAGUUGAAUUUCUGAUCUCGGACUGCGGUCAGCCCCAAGGGGUUUGUACCUGUAGUCUGGGAUCAUCCUCGAGUUGAACAUGUCUGUCAUUCAGUUGAUGGGCAUGGGAUUCUCGUCAUUUACUGUGAGUAAAAUAGAGUGUUCAAAGCAGACAUCAUGUCAUUGAAUACGUUAGCAUGGAAUAAUAAGAUAGGACCUUGGUCUAUUUUGUUGGUUUGACUCCAAGGUAAUGAUUAAUAGGGACAGUUGGGGGUAUUCGUAUUCAAUUGUCAGAGGUGAAAUUCUUGGAUUUAUGGAAGACGAACUACUGCGAAAGCAUUUACCAAGGAUGUUUUCAUUAAUCAAGAACGAAAGUUAGGGGAUCGAAGAUGAUUAGAUACCAUCGUAGUCUUAACCAUAAACUAUGCCGACUAGGGAUUGGUGGUUGUUU